CUUUACUGUAACCUGGAAUUGGGUUCGGGCUUUGCUUGCGCAGGAUAGGUGGGAGACUAUGAAGCAAUCCUUGUGGGGGUUGCUGAGUCAACGGUGAGAUACCACUCUGUCAGAGCUAGAAUUCUAACUAAAUGCCGUUAUCCGGCUUUGGAACCGUAUCAGGUGGGCAGUUUGACUGGGGCGGUCGCCUCCUAAAAGGUAACGGAGGCGCGCAAAGGUUCUCUCAGGCUGGUUGGAAAUCAGCCGUAGAGUGUAAAGGCAGAAGAGAGCUUGACUGCAAGAGCUACAACUCGAGCAGGGUGGAAACACGGCCUUAGUGAUCCGACGGCACUGAGUGGAAGGGCCGUCGCUAAACGGAUAAAAGUUA
RNAcentral lists this ribosomal RNA (367 nucleotides) under uncultured organism. RNAcentral describes it as "bacterial LSU rRNA". It matches the Rfam family "Bacterial large subunit ribosomal RNA", at positions 2099 to 2465 of the family's 2925-position model. The record is from RNAcentral.